CUGCGGAGGGAUCAUUGCUGGAACGCGCCCCAGGCGCACCCAGAAACCCUUUGUGAACUUAUACCUUACUGUUGCCUCGGCGCAUGCUGGCCCCCCCGGGGGCCCCUCGGAGACGAGGAGCAGGCACGCCGGCGGCCAAGUUAACUCUUGUUUUUACACUGAAACUCUGAGAAAAAAACACAAAUGAAUCAAAACUUUCAACAACGGAUCUCUUGGUUCUGGCAUCGAUGAAGAACGCAGCGAAAUGCGAUAAGUAAUGUGAAUUGCAGAAUUCAGUGAAUCAUCGAAUCUUUGAACGCACAUUGCGCCCUCUGGUAUUCCGGAGGGCAUGCCUGUUCGAGCGUCAUUUCAACCCUCAAGCAUUGCUUGGUGUUGGGGCACUGCCUGUAAAAGGGCAGGCCCUGAAAUCUAGUGGCGAGCUCGCCAGGACCCCGAGCGCAGUAGUUAAACCCUCGCUUUGGAAGGCCCUGGCGGUGCCCUGCCGUUAAACCCCCAACUUUUGAAAAUUUGACCUCGGAUCAGGUAGGAAUACCCGCUGAACUUAAGCAUAUC
This 552-nucleotide ribosomal RNA is filed under the name Diaporthe sp. RNAcentral describes it as "eukaryotic LSU rRNA". The stretch from base 193 to 346 matches the Rfam family "5.8S ribosomal RNA". The record is from RNAcentral. Lineage: Eukaryota; Fungi; Ascomycota; Sordariomycetes; Diaporthales; Diaporthaceae.